RNAcentral lists this long non-coding RNA (3475 nucleotides) under Marmota monax (woodchuck). Lineage: Eukaryota; Metazoa; Chordata; Mammalia; Rodentia; Sciuridae. The record is from RNAcentral.
CUUGUCUGCCCAGGUCCCUGGGCUAGCAGGGUAUCAGUGGGCUCUGAGGUGUGGAAGAGCACAGGUGAGGGUCUGGGGCUGCUGAAGACGCGUCCCGCUGUGCCUGGGCGCUGCUGCUGGUGUGAUGUGCCAGGAAACCAGCCAUCUCCAUUGGCUGGAGUGCUGGACUUCCACAGGCAGAGGAACAGGCCCUGACCUGAACCUCACCUUAUGCAAAGUUAACUCAAUGGACUAGAGACCCAAAUGUAAAUGCAAAAACAAAAACACUGCCAGAACCCGUCCCUCUCCCCAAGUCGCCACGUCCUGGAUUGUAUGGCGAUUCCAUAGCGGCUUCUUGUGAAUAGUGCCAUUGUCAGUAUCUCAGUGCAGGUUUACAGUGGGCAUGCAAUGGUGCCUCACUGUGGUUCUCAUUUGCAUCUUUCUGCUUUUUAAUUAGUGAAGGAGAGAAAUCUGCCUUAUGCUUGACAGGUGUUGAGACCUCUUUUUAACGAAGUGCCUGUUCAGCUGAGUGUGGUGGCUCAGCAGCUUGGGAGGCUGAGGCAGGAGGGUUGCAAGUUCAAGGCCAGCUUCAGUAACUUGGCAAGACUCUGUUAAGCCCCCCUGGGUUACCAAAAAAAAAAAAAAAAAGUGCCUGUGCACAUUAGUGGCAGAUGGCCCUGUCGGCCUGAAGUGUUCUUCACCGGUUCCAAACCAAGCCUCAACAUGGGUCACACAUGCUUGUUCUUUCACUCUCUGUGUCCUACUACAGUGAACUCCAGGGCUCUUUCCCUUCAUGCUGGGUGCUCUGGUGUCAGUCUAAAUCUCUUCAUAUCCCCACGGACACAGAGAUCUUUUCCUACUCAAUCUGCCAGAUGUUUGAGUUCAGACCCGCAGCCACUGGAAUCCACGUCUGUGCGGUACCCAUGUGUUUCCUGUUGAGUCCCUCGUCAUGUUCGUGUCUCAUGCGAGUGUACAACUUUCCUGGCACAUUUUUCAGAAGAUCGUACUCACCUCUGCCACCUUUAUUCUAAAUCAAAGGCCUAACCUGUGCAGCUGCACUUGAAUGUUGCUGGUCAGAGGGAGAGAGCUCCAGAGGGCCUGGUGCAAAUCAGUUUUGCUUGCAGCUCGCUGGCCAGACCCCUUAAGCCAUUUGACUCCAUGACCACAGCCGAUCAGGAAGUGCGAUCCCAUCGUUAGUCUAGAAGGUGGAGGGGUGGACAUAUACAGUGGACAGCUCUAAUAACUACUUGGUUCUGUAUUUUCCAUUACUUUGUCUUGGUUUUUUCUGCAUAUUUUCUUCUAACAUUUCUACCAGUUCACUAAUUCUCUCUUCCAGCUACAUCUAUCUGAUUAUUAAAUAUGUACGCUUUCUUCUUAAUUUGGCUAAUUUUAAUUUCUAGAAAUUUCAUUUCACACACAUACACGCGCGUGCGUGCACACAUCUUUCAGCUUUUACCAAAAAUCUCACUCUAGGCUUCCAUCUCCUUGAACAUAAUAAAUAUAUUAUUUUGACAUCUGUAGCUGAUAACUCCAAACUCUGGAUCCCUGUGGAUUAUCUCUGUAACCUGUAGUCUAGCAAGUUUUUACUCAUACUGUCUUCUGUUAUUUUCUGUGCCUUUUUGUCAUGUUUUUAAUUUUUCAAUAUUUAUUUUUUAGUUUUUGGUGGACACAACAUCUUUAUUUUAUUUUUAUGUGGUGCUGAGGAUCAAACCCAGCGCCCCACGCAUGCCAGGAAAGCGCGCUACCGCUUGAGCCACAUCCCCAGCCCCUCAUGUCAUGUUUUAUCUGUAGCAAUAAUUUGAAGCCCAGCAAAAUGACACCUCCCUUGACCAAGGCUCUCCUACUGCCCUGACCUGUGCUGAGCACUGACAGCCUGGAGUCACCCUACCAAUUUCAAGGCUAAGCCAAAGUCUCUUUGAGGGCCUAACUCUGGGUCACCUUUAUCCUAAGGGUGCAGUCUUUAGAAACCCAAUCCAGGCUGGGUGUGAUGGUGUGCACCUGUAAUCCCAGCAAAUCUGGAGGCUGAGGCAGGAAGAUUGCAAGUUCAAGGCCAGCCUGGACAAUUUAGUGAGAUCCUGUCUCAAAGUAAAAACUAAAAAGAGCUAGGGAUGCAGCUCAGUGAUAGAAUAUCUCUAGGUUCAACCCCCAGUACCAAAAAAAAAAAAACAAACAAAACAAAAAAAAACAUGUAGAAAUAAAAAUAUCCCCUCCCAAAAAAACCCCAAUACAAGUAAGGAUUAGAGUGGGAUAUUUAUUCACAAACUGUAAAUUCCUUCAGUCACCCUCCACCUGUAUUCAUUCAUCCAUCCAUCCAUCCGAGCCUGUCUUUCUUUUUUGGUUUUUGUACUAAGGGUUGAAUCCAGGGGUGUUUAACCACUAACCACAUCCUCAGUCCUUUUUAAUUUUUGAGACAGUCUGACUAAAUUGCUUAGGGCCUUGAUAAAUUGCUGAGGCUGGCCUCAAACCUGCAAUCCUCCUAUCCCAGCCCUCCGAGCUACUGGGAUUAUAGGCAUGAGCCACCUCGCCUGGCCCUAGUGCCUCUUGAGGAACUCAAGUCAGAGAGCUCAGAGGGUCAUUGCCAGCCUGGGGGUCUUGGUAGCCCUAGGGUUUGUCUUACCUGCCACUGGUAGAUGCUGAGUGCAGUUUUGCAGGGUAGGCAAAUCAAACUGCCUCUGAGAAUGUUUAUUUGAGAUGUUUUGAAAGCAAUUGAAUUUGGCUCUGGGAGGGCUUUGAGCUAACAGCUGCUAUAAAGAAUCGAGCAAGAGGGUGGAGAGACUGGCGGACCUGAACCCUUCCAUGUACAGGUCCUGAGAGGCCACUUUCUACCCAUCAGCCACAUCCCUGGCCUCCUGGAGGCCCACAACCCUCCUGGCAGCCCCUCCCCCCGUAUCUGCCUCCAGCAUCUGCACACAGCCAGGGCACCCUGAGCACCAUCCCCUUCCCUCUGUGAACUCUCCCCAUCAACCCACUUUCAGGCACCCUUGGGUCCUUCCCUCCCACGCGCGGCCUACUUGGGCUUCCUGGGCCACCUCUCCCUCUGGGCAACCUUUCUCCAUCCCUCCCCCUGGGAUGGACGAACCUUCUGCUGCCCGUCACCCAUCCUCACCAGCCCUCCGCCUCAUCAGUCAUGAAGCACUCCAGGGUUCGUCCCUUCACCCCCAUCUGGUCUGGGCUCAGCACCUCCCUUUCCACCUCACACUCACACUGCCCACUACCUGCCUGUGGCCGGCCUCCAGCCUCACACCUGUGUGCUUCCUCUCCAGGCCCCACCCCCAGGCCCAGGUGAUGCGGGCUCCUUGGGCUUCUGCUUGCCAGGCCCAGUUCCCAAUGGGACAGGACCCCUCUCUGCCCUGCCUCUGCCUCCAGCUGUGUCCAUGGCGGGGGGGGGGGGGGUUAGCUGUUAGGGAGCCACCCCCACCCCCCCCUGCACAGCAGGCCCCUGUGGAAGGGGUCAGGCGCUGGUCCUGGCCUUCAGGAGCAGCACCACCCGCUCACG